Heteronotia binoei (common prickly gecko) is the source of this 72-nucleotide non-coding RNA. Lineage: Eukaryota; Metazoa; Chordata; Lepidosauria; Squamata; Gekkonidae. The record is from the annotation of a RefSeq genome assembly.
GGGGCUGUAGCUCAGUGGAAGAGCGUCUGCUUGUCAUGCAGGAGGUCCCAGGUUUAAUCCCUGGUGUCUCCA